Molecule: unclassified non-coding RNA, 217 nt
Filed under: plant metagenome
Description: partial contains small subunit ribosomal RNA, internal transcribed spacer 1, and 5.8S ribosomal RNA
Rfam family: 5.8S ribosomal RNA (bases 169-217)
Source: RNAcentral
UCUCCGUUGGUGAACCAGCGGAGGGAUCAUUACCGAGUGCAAACUCAUAACCCUUUGUGAACCUAUAUCUGUUGCUUCGGCGGCUCGCUCUCGGGCGAGCCCGCCGGUAAUAUCAGUAUCUCUGUUUGAACCCGACGAUACUUCUGAGUGUUCUUAGCGAACAGUUAAAACUUUUAACAACGGAUCUCUUGGCUCUAGCAUCGAUGAAGAACGUAGC